RNAcentral lists this ribosomal RNA (406 nucleotides) under uncultured bacterium. RNAcentral describes it as "partial 16S ribosomal RNA". It matches the Rfam family "Bacterial small subunit ribosomal RNA", at positions 28 to 526 of the family's 1533-position model. The record is from RNAcentral.
GACUAACGCUGGCGGCGUGCUUAACACAUGCAAGUCGAACGAGUGGCGAACGGGUGCGUAAUAUAUCGGAACGUACCGAGUAAUGGGGGAUAACUACUCGAAAGAUUAGCUAAUACCGCAUAUUAUUCGAGCGGCCGAUAUCUGCUUAGCUAGUUGGGGGGGUAAAGGCCUACCAAGGCGACGAUCAGUAGCGGGUCUGAGAGGAUGACCCGCCAGACUGGGACUGAGAGACGGCCCAGAGUCCUACGGGAGGCAGCAGUGGGGAAUAUUGGACAAGGGGCGCAAGCCUGAUCCAGCGAUGCCGCGUGUCUGAAGAAGGCCUUCGGGUUGUAAAGGACUUUUGUCAGGGAAGCGGUACCUGAAGAAUAAGCACCGGCUAACGACGUGCCAGCAGCCGCGGUAAUAC